UGAUUUAAGUGCCUGUCCUUU
RNAcentral lists this non-coding RNA (21 nucleotides) under Caenorhabditis elegans. The record is from RNAcentral. Lineage: Eukaryota; Metazoa; Nematoda; Chromadorea; Rhabditida; Rhabditidae.